Molecule: non-coding RNA, 46 nt
Organism: Schistosoma rodhaini
Lineage: Eukaryota; Metazoa; Platyhelminthes; Trematoda; Strigeidida; Schistosomatidae
Source: Rfam
GCACUGCUGAAGAGUCCCAUGCUAGGACAAAACGGCCGUCCAGUGC